AACGAACGCUGGCGGCAUGCCUAACACAUGCAAGUCGAACGAGACCUUCGGGUCUAGUGGCGCACGGGUGCGUAACGCGUGGGAACCUGCCCUUAGGUUCGGAAUAACUCCCCGAAAGGGGUGCUAAUACCGGAUAAUGUCUUCGGACCAAAGAUUUAUCGCCUUUGGAUGGGCCCGCGUUGGAUUAGCUAGUUGGUAGGGUAAAAGCCUACCAAGGCGACGAUCCAUAGCUGGUCUGAGAGGAUGAUCAGCCACACUGGGACUGAGACACGGCCCAGACUCCUACGGGAGGCAGCAGUGGGGAAUAUUGGAAAAUGGGCGAAAGCCUGAUCCAGCAAUGCCGCGGGAGGGAUGAAGGCCUUAGGGUUGUAAAGCUCUUUUACCCGGGAUGAUAAUGACAGUACCGGGAGAAUAAGCUCCGGCUAACUCCGUG
RNAcentral lists this ribosomal RNA (433 nucleotides) under uncultured bacterium. RNAcentral's name for it is "partial 16S ribosomal RNA". It matches the Rfam family "Bacterial small subunit ribosomal RNA", at positions 29 to 507 of the family's 1533-position model. The record is from RNAcentral.